This 492-nucleotide ribosomal RNA is filed under the name uncultured bacterium. Its description in RNAcentral is "partial 16S ribosomal RNA". It matches the Rfam family "Bacterial small subunit ribosomal RNA", at positions 29 to 507 of the family's 1533-position model. The record is from RNAcentral.
AGUGAACGCUGGCGGUAGGCCUAACACAUGCAAGUCGAACGGCAGCACAGUAAGAGCUUGCUCUUACGGGUGGCGAGUGGCGGACGGGUGAGGAAUACAUCGGAAUCUACUUUUUCGUGGGGGAUAACGUAGGGAAACUUACGCUAAUACCGCAUACGACCUACGGGGGAAAGCAGGGGAUCUUCGGACCUUGCGCGAUUGAAUGAGCCGAUGUCGGAUUAGCUAGUUGGCGGGGUAAAGGCCCACCAAGGCGACGAUCCGUAGCUGGUCUGAGAGGAUGGUCAGCCACCCUGGAACUGAGACACGGCCCAGACUCCUACGGGAGGCAGCAGUGGGGAAUAUUGGACAAUGGGCGCAAGCCUGAUCCAGCCAUACCGCGUGGGUGAAGAAGGCCUUCGGGUUGUAAAGCCCUUUUGUUAGGAAAGAAAAGCAGCAGGUUAAUACCCCGCUGUUCUGACGGUACCCAAAGAAUAAGCACCGGCUAACUUCGUG